This 601-nucleotide long non-coding RNA is filed under the name Mus pahari (shrew mouse). Its description in RNAcentral is "lncRNA (MGP_PahariEiJ_G0003634.1)". The stretch from base 3 to 127 matches the Rfam family "U4atac minor spliceosomal RNA". The record is from RNAcentral. Lineage: Eukaryota; Metazoa; Chordata; Mammalia; Rodentia; Muridae.
CAACCAUCCUUUUCUUGGGGUUGCGCUACUGUCCAAUGAACGCUUAGUGAGGGCAGUACUGCUAACGCCUGACAACACACCUGCAUCGGUUAGAGCUUUGCUUUACCUUGGUGCAAUUUUUGGAAAACCCACAAAACCUCUCUUCCUAGCCUAAAUAUUUAAAGAUAAAGUAACCGCGUGUGUACUGUUCUCGCAGUUCCUCUACUGUUUGCUAGAGGGCAGCCGGGACGCAAUUACUUGCAAGACCAGCUUUCUCACCCCUGCCCUAAGACAAUAAAAACUCCCUUUGGAAACAUAGACUGUACCUUUAAAGGGUUCCGUAUUUGUAUAUGAGUUUUCAUCCAGUUUACAAGUCAAUCUAUAUACUAGUUCAAACACCAAACCAGCACUGCGAGGAAUUAGAUACUUGAAAGUGUAUAAGUCUUUUGAGGCGCAGAGUCUAUGUAGCCCUGGAUUGGCCUGCAAUUUAGCAUGUAGCCCGUGCUAGCCUUAAACUUGUAGCUCCCAACUGCUAAAAUUAAAGGCAUGUGCCACUUCCCGGGGCCCUUUUUUCUCCCAACUUUUAAAAUAGUUCUAUUUAUGAGCAUUUUCUUUAAAACAA